CUAGCUACAGGCUUAACACAUGCAAGUCGAGGGGCAGCAUGGUCUUAGCUUGCUAAGGCCGAUGGCGACCGGCGCACGGGUGAGUAACACGUAUCCAACCUGCCGUCUACUCUUGGACAGCCUUCUGAAAGGAAGAUUAAUACAAGAUGGCAUCAUGAGUCCGCAUGUUCACAUGAUUAAAGGUAUUCCGGUAGACGAUGGGGAUGCGUUCCAUUAGAUAGUAGGCGGGGUAACGGCCCACCCAGUCUUCGAUGGAUAGGGGUUCUGAGAGGAAGGUCCCCCACAUUGGAACUGAGACACGGUCCAAACUCCUACGGGAGGCAGCAGUGAGGAAUAUUGGUCAAUGGGCGAGAGCCUGAACCAGCCAAGUAGCGUGAAGGAUGACUGCCCUAUGGGUUGUAAACUUCUUUUAUAAAGGAAUAAAGUCGGGUAUGGAUACCCGUUUGCAUGUACUUUAUGAAUAAGGAUCGGCUAACUCCGUGCGAGCAGCCGCGGUAAUACGGAGGAUCCGAGCGUUAUCCGGAUUUAUUGGGUUUAAAGGGAGCGUAGAUGGAUGUUUAAGUCAGUUGUGAAAGUUUGCGGCUCAACCGUAAAAUUGCAGUUGAUACUGGAUAUCUUGAGUGCAGUUGAGGCAGGCGGAAUUCGUGGUGUAGCGGUGAAAUGCUUAGAUAUCACGAAGAACUCCGAUUGCGAAGGCAGCCUGCUAAGCUGCAACUGACAUUGAGGCUCGAAAGUGUGGGUAUCAAACAGGAUUAGAUACCCUGGUAGUCCACACGGUAAACGAUGAAUACUCGCUGUUUGCGAUAUACUGCAAGCGGCCAAGCGAAAGCGUUAAGUAUUCCACCUGGGGAGUACGCCGGCAACGGUGAAACUCAAAGGAAUUGACGGGGGCCCGCACAAGCGGAGGGACAUGUGGUUUAAUUCGAUGAUACGCGAGGAACCUUACCCGGGCUUAAAUUGCAGAUGAAUUACGGUGAAAGCCGUAAGCCGCAAGGCAUCUGUGAAGGUGCUGCAUGGUUGUCGUCAGCUCGUGCCGUGAGGUGUCGGCUUAAGUGCCAUAACGAGCGCAACCCUUGUUGUCAGUUACUAACAGGUUCCGCUGAGGACUCUGACAAGACUGCCAUCGUAAGAUGUGAGGAAGGUGGGGAUGACGUCAAAUCAGCACGGCCCUUACGUCCGGGGCUACACACGUGUUACAAUGGGGGGUACAGAGGGCCGCUACCACGCGAGUGGAUGCCAAUCCCCAAAACCUCUCUCAGUUCGGACUGGAGUCUGCAACCCGACUCCACGAAGCUGGAUUCGCUAGUAAUCGCGCAUCAGCCACGGCGCGGUGAAUACGUUCCCGGGCCUUGUACACACCGCCCGUCAAGCCAUGGGAGCCGGGGGUACCUGAAGUGCGUAACCGCGAGGAGCGCCCUAGGGUAAAGCUGGUGACUGG
Molecule: ribosomal RNA, 1438 nt
Filed under: uncultured organism
Description: SSU rRNA
Rfam family: Bacterial small subunit ribosomal RNA
Source: RNAcentral